Molecule: ribosomal RNA, 115 nt
Filed under: uncultured Ochromonas
Lineage: Eukaryota; Chrysophyceae; Chromulinales; Chromulinaceae
Description: partial 16S ribosomal RNA
Rfam family: Eukaryotic small subunit ribosomal RNA
Source: RNAcentral
CCGGGCUUUUACAAGUCUGGCAAUUGGAAUGAGAACAAUUUAAAUCCCUUAUCGAGGAUCAAUUGGAGGGCAAGUCUGGUGCCAGCAGCCGCGGUAAUACAUAGGUCCCCGUGCC